GACAGAGGGUGCAAACGUUGUUCGGAAUUACUGGGCGUAAAGCGCGUGUAGGCGGCCAUCUAAGUCGGGCGUGAAAUCCCACGGCUCAACCGUGGAAGUGCACUCGAAACUGGAUGGCUAGAGUCCUGGAGAGGAAGGUGGAAUGCUUGGUGUAGAGGUGAAAUUCGUAGAUAUCAAGCGGAACACCGGUGGCGAAGGCGGCCUUCUGGACAGCGACUGACGCUGAGACGCGAAAGCGUGGGGAGCAAACAGG
This 253-nucleotide ribosomal RNA is filed under the name uncultured bacterium. RNAcentral's name for it is "partial 16S ribosomal RNA". It matches the Rfam family "Bacterial small subunit ribosomal RNA", at positions 524 to 776 of the family's 1533-position model. The record is from RNAcentral.